This 505-nucleotide ribosomal RNA is filed under the name uncultured bacterium. Its description in RNAcentral is "bacterial SSU rRNA". It matches the Rfam family "Bacterial small subunit ribosomal RNA", at positions 8 to 507 of the family's 1533-position model. The record is from RNAcentral.
AGAGUUUGAUCAUGGCUCAGGAUGAACGUUAGCGGGAGGCUUAAUACAUGCAAGUCGAGCGGUAAGUUUUUAUAGCAAUAUGAAGACCUAGAGCGGCGCACGGGUGAGUAACGCGUACACGACCUGGCCUAAACUGGGGGAUAGCCUUGGGAAACUGAGAGUAAUCCCGCAUGUGAUUAUGUUACUGAUGGUGAUAUAAUUAAAGCUUCGGCGGUUUAGGAUGGGUGUGCGUCUGAUUAGCUAGUUGGUAGUGUAACGGACUACCAAGGCGAUGAUCAGUAGGGGGCGUGAGAGCGUGACCCCCCACACGGGUACUGAGACACGGACCCGACUCCUACGGGAGGCAGCAGUAAGGAAUAUUGGUCAAUGCCCGGAAGGGUGAACCAGCCAUCCCGCGUGAAGGAUGAAGGGGCUCUGCCUUGUAAACUUCUUUUGUAUGGGGCGAAAAAAGGGGAUUUAUCCUCGACUGACGGUACCAUAAGAAUAAGCACCGGCUAACUCCGUG